CCUACGGGUUGCAGCAGUGAGGAAUAUUGGUCAAUGGGCGCGAGCCUGAACCAGCCAAGUAGCGUGAAGGAUGACUGCGCUACGGGUUGUAAACUUCUUUUAUAAAGGAAUAAAGUGAGGCACGCGUGCCUUUUUGUGUGUACUUGAUGAAUAAGGAUCGGCUAACUCCGUGCCAGCAGCCGCGGUAAUACGGAGGAUCCGAGCGUUAUCCGGAUUUAUUGGGUUUAAAGGGAGCGUAGGUGGGUUGGUAAGUCAGUUGUGAAAGUUUGCGGCUCAAACGUAAAAUUGCAAUUGAUACUGUCAGUCUUGAGUACAGGUGAGGUAGGCGGAAUGCGUGGUGUAGCGGUGAAAUGCUUAGAUAUCGCGAAGAACUCCGAUUGCGAAGGCAGCUUACUAACGUGCCACUGACAUUGAUGCUCGAAAGUGUGGGUAUCGAACAGGAUUAGAUACCCUUGUAGUC
RNAcentral lists this ribosomal RNA (460 nucleotides) under uncultured bacterium. RNAcentral's name for it is "partial 16S ribosomal RNA". It matches the Rfam family "Bacterial small subunit ribosomal RNA", at positions 338 to 795 of the family's 1533-position model. The record is from RNAcentral.